Molecule: non-coding RNA, 71 nt
Organism: Ictidomys tridecemlineatus (thirteen-lined ground squirrel)
Lineage: Eukaryota; Metazoa; Chordata; Mammalia; Rodentia; Sciuridae
Source: Rfam
GUGGCUGUGGCUCAGGGGUAGAGCACUGGCCUAGCACGGGUGAGGCCCUGGGUUCGAUUCUCAGCACCACA